This 253-nucleotide ribosomal RNA is filed under the name uncultured bacterium. RNAcentral's name for it is "partial 16S ribosomal RNA". It matches the Rfam family "Bacterial small subunit ribosomal RNA", at positions 524 to 776 of the family's 1533-position model. The record is from RNAcentral.
UACGUAGGGUGCGAGCGUUAAUCGGAAUUACUGGGCGUAAAGGGCGCGUAGGCGGCACUGUUAGUCAGGCGUGAAAGUCCUGGGCUCAACCUGGGAACUGCGCUUGAUACGGCAGAGCUAGAGGAUGGAAGAGGCUCGCGGAAUUCCCAGUGUAGAGGUGAAAUUCGUAGAUAUUCGCAAGAACACCAGUGGCGAAGGCGGCUUACUGGUCCGGUUCUGACGCUGAGGCGCGAAAGCGUGGGGAGCAAACAGG